GACGAACGCUGGCGGCGUACUUAACACAUGCAAGUCGAACGGAAAGGCCCUGCUUUUGUGGGGUGCUCGAGUGGCGAACGGGUGAGUAACACGUGAGUAACCUGCCCUUGACUUUGGGAUAACUUCAGGAAACUGGGGCUAAUACCGGAUAGGAGCUCCUGCUGCAUGGUGGGGGUUGGAAAGUUUCGGCGGUUGGGGAUGGACUCGCGGCUUAUCAGCUUGUUGGUGGGGUAGUGGCUUACCAAGGCUUUGACGGGUAGCCGGCCUGAGAGGGUGACCGGCCACAUUGGGACUGAGAUACGGCCCAGACUCCUACGGGGGGCAGCAGUGGGGAAUAUUGCACAAUGGUCGGAAGCCUGAUGCAGCAACGCCGCGUGCGGGAUGACGGCCUUCGGGUUGUAAACCGCUUUCGCCUGUGACGAAGCGUGAGUGACGGUAAUGGGUAAAGAAGCACCGGCUAACUACGUG
Molecule: ribosomal RNA, 468 nt
Filed under: uncultured bacterium
Lineage: Bacteria
Description: partial 16S ribosomal RNA
Rfam family: Bacterial small subunit ribosomal RNA
Source: RNAcentral